RNAcentral lists this ribosomal RNA (272 nucleotides) under Gilliamella sp. Fer1-1. RNAcentral's name for it is "partial 16S ribosomal RNA". It matches the Rfam family "Bacterial small subunit ribosomal RNA", at positions 1 to 271 of the family's 1533-position model. The record is from RNAcentral. Lineage: Bacteria; Pseudomonadati; Pseudomonadota; Gammaproteobacteria; Orbales; Orbaceae.
UUAAAUUGAAGAGUUUGAUCAUGGCUCAGAUUGAACGCUGGCGGCAGGCUUAACACAUGCAAGUCGAACGGUAACAUGAGUGCUUGCACUUGAUGACGAGUGGCGGACGGGUGAGUAAAGUAUGGGGAUCUGCCGAAUGGUGGGGGACAACAGUUGGAAACGACUGCUAAUACCGCAUAAAGUUGAGAGACCAAAGCAUGGGACCUUCGGGCCAUGCGCCAUUUGAUGAACCCAUAUGGGAUUAGCUAGUAGGUGGGGUAAAGGCUCACCUA